GAUGAACGCUGGCUACAGGCUUAACACAUGCAAGUCGAGGGGAAACGGCAUUGAGUGCUUGCACUGAAUGGACGUCGACCGGCGCACGGGUGAGUAACGCGUAUCCAACCUUCCCGUUACUGCGGGAUAACCUGCCGAAAGGCAGACUAAUACCGCAUGUUCUUCGAUGACGGCAUCAGAUUCGAAGCAAAGAUCCGUCGGUAACGGAGGGGGAUGCGUCUGAUUAGCUAGUUGGCGGGGCGACGGCCCACCAAGGCGACGAUCAGUAGGGGUUCUGAGAGGAAGGUCCCCCACAUUGGAACUGAGACACGGUCCAAACUCCUACGGGAGGCAGCAGUGAGGAAUAUUGGUCAAGGGGCGGAAGCCUGAACCAGCCAAGUAGCGUGCAGGAUGACGGCCCUACGGGUUGUAAACUGCUUUUAUGCGGGGAUAAAGUGAGGGACGCGUCCCUUUUUGCAGGUACCGCAUGAAUAAGGACCGGCUAAUUCCGUG
This 492-nucleotide ribosomal RNA is filed under the name uncultured bacterium. Its description in RNAcentral is "partial 16S ribosomal RNA". It matches the Rfam family "Bacterial small subunit ribosomal RNA", at positions 28 to 507 of the family's 1533-position model. The record is from RNAcentral.